GGGUGAGUAACGCGUAGGGAACCUGGCCCUUACAGGGGGAUAACAGAUGGAAACAACUGCUAAUACCGCAUAAGCGCCCAGCCUCGCAUGAGGCAGAGUGAAAAACUAAGGUGGUAAGGGAUGGCCCUGCGUCCGAUUAGCUAGUUGGUAUGGUAACGGCAUACCAAGGCGACGAUCGGUAGCCGGCCUGAGAGGGUGGACGGCCACAUUGGGACUGAGACACGGCCCAAACUCCUACGGGAGGCAGCAGAGGGGGAUAUUGCACAAUGGGGGAAACCCUGAUGCAGCGACACCGCGUGGGUGAAGAAGCGCUUCGGCGUGUAAAGCCCUAUCAGUGGGGAAGAAAAAGGACGGUACCCAAAGAAGAAGCACCGGCUAAAUACGUGCCAGCAGCCGCGGUAAUACGUAUGGUGCAAGCGUUAUCCGGAAUGACUGGGUGUAAAGGGAGCGUAGACGGUUGUACAAGUCUGAUGUGAAAGCCCACGGCUCAACUGUGGGAGUGCAUUGGAAACUGUAUAACUAGAGUAUCGGAGAGGCAAGUGGAAUUCCUAGUGUAGCGGUGAAAUGCGUAGAUAUUAGGAGGAACACCAGUGGCGAAGGCGGCUUGCUGGACGAAAACUGACGUUGAGGCUCGAAAGCGUGGGGAGCAAACAGGAUUAGAUACCCUGGUAGUCCACGCUGUAAACGAUGAAUACUAGGUGUUGGGGCCC
This 710-nucleotide ribosomal RNA is filed under the name uncultured bacterium. RNAcentral describes it as "bacterial SSU rRNA". It matches the Rfam family "Bacterial small subunit ribosomal RNA", at positions 104 to 831 of the family's 1533-position model. The record is from RNAcentral.